GGAACAUUUCGUAGGUACAUAUGUUCAUCAUCCACUCCUCUGUUGGGUACGAGGAGAGUCAACUUGUCUACUUUUGAUCGGAAGUAGUCAUAAAGAAGAGGAGGGAAAGAUGAUUCAGCAUUUGUUAGGUGGUGUGACUCUACCUUACUCUCUCAUCUGUACCACGGGAUCUGAAGGUUCUGAGAGGGAGAAAUGGACCUGAAUACUGAUGGUCCAUGCAUGAGCGAGAGCAUGACUCCCCUCCUCUAUAGUUAUAGAUUCUGCCAUCUGCAUUCUACUUGGGAAAGAAGGACUUUUGGUUCAGUUUCAGAUGUCUUUUGCAUCCACACCAGCUUCCAGAUACCUGCAGCUAGAGAAUUACCAAAGGAGAAAUCCAUUUAUGGAGAGUUUCUGAUAGUUGAAGGCAAGAAAUUAAUAUUUGGUGUAAAUUUGGUUGAGCCAAAGGAUAUAUGAAGGAAAUUAAAAAUCAGGAAGCAGAGAACAAGGAUCAUUAAUGACCUCCGAAUCUUGCUCUUCUCCUUGAUGUGGAAACUUUACUAAUUGGAAGAUUCAGAUUUUAUGGGGAUUCUUCAGAACUCAGAAUGAGGGUGGGUUCUGCUUCAGUUUUCUUUGCUUCUUCCUGGUGGCUAGCAAUAUUAGCAGAAUG
This 646-nucleotide long non-coding RNA is filed under the name Mus spicilegus (steppe mouse). RNAcentral's name for it is "lncRNA (ENSMSIG00000010049.1)". The record is from RNAcentral. Lineage: Eukaryota; Metazoa; Chordata; Mammalia; Rodentia; Muridae.